UGGGGAAUUUUCCGCAAUGGACGCAAGUCUGACGGAGCGACGCUGCGUGAAGGAUGACGGCCCGCGGGUUGUAAACUUCUUUUCUCGAAGAAGAAACAAAUGACGGUAUUCGAGGAAUAAGCAUCGGCUAACUCCGUGCCAGCAGCCGCGGUAAGACGGAGGAUGCAAAGUGUUAUUCGGAAUGAUUGGGCGUAAAGAGUCUGUAGGCCGUAUAGAAAGUCUUUUGUUAAAUGCCUCGGCUCAACCGAGAUCCAGCAAAGGAAACUUCUAUACUUGAGGGAAGUAGAGGUACAGGGAAUUCCCGGUGGAGCGGUGAAAUGCAUAGAUAUUACAUAGAAUACCAAUUGCGA
Molecule: ribosomal RNA, 350 nt
Filed under: uncultured bacterium
Lineage: Bacteria
Description: bacterial SSU rRNA
Rfam family: Bacterial small subunit ribosomal RNA
Source: RNAcentral